RNAcentral lists this ribosomal RNA (257 nucleotides) under uncultured bacterium. RNAcentral's name for it is "partial 16S ribosomal RNA". It matches the Rfam family "Bacterial small subunit ribosomal RNA", at positions 793 to 1055 of the family's 1533-position model. The record is from RNAcentral.
GUCCACGCCGUAACGAUGAUAACUCGCUGUUGGCGAUACACAGUCAGCGGCUUAGCGAAAGCGUUAAGUUAUCCACCUGGGGAGUACGCUCGCAAGAGUGAAACUCAAAGGAAUUGACGGGGCCCGCACAAGCGGAGGAACAUGUGGUUUAAUUCGAUGAUACGCGAGGAACCUUACCUGGGCUUAAAUGUGGAGUGACUGCCGAAGAAAUUUGGUUUUCCGCAAGGACACUCUACAAGGUGCUGCAUGGUUGUCGU